Long non-coding RNA from Osmerus eperlanus (European smelt), 1819 nucleotides. RefSeq lists it as uncharacterized. The transcript is spliced from 2 exons. The record is from RefSeq and is a predicted model, not a curated record. NCBI's taxonomy places the organism in Eukaryota, Metazoa, Chordata, Actinopteri, Osmeriformes, Osmeridae.
CAUAGCGGGAUAAAAACACACACUGUGCCACAUUACCCAAUGUCCCAUAUUACCCAAAUUCACCCUACUUUUCUUUCAAGAACAGUCUAGCCUACUUUUCGUCUUUUGAGCCUUGGUAAAUCUGCCUUUUGUCCUUGAUCUUUGUCUCACGCUGAAAUCAAUAAUGGGGAACCCUAUGUCCCAUGUGGCCAAUGCCUCGAAGUCGCCGAUCCGGAUGCGGGUUGUCAAAGGCGAGAAAAUCAUAUCAAUUCCGUCAAGGGACUAUACCGUUUUAGCUGGAGGUGGGCAUGAGGUCAGCAUGCAUAUGAAGGAAUGCGACGGAAACUACAGGAUUAUCACUGACAGCUACCACAUCCCCUUGGACAGGUCCAUUAUUGUGACGGAAGAGGGCUACAUACGAUUACAGAAAUAUGGGGAAAGUAUUUGGAUGGAUGAGGAUGGCAUAAUGCACUAAUAGGGGAGACCGGGGUUGGUUGGCUACAGGGGUUGGUUGGCACACAGCAUUUUUUGGUAGUUUUGAAGGUCACAGAAACAAAAUUGUAACAUCAAAAUGUUUGCUUUCUCGACCUGCACUCGUCUACUAUGUUAAACCAUCUGAAAAUCACAAACUGUUUUGGUGAGGGUAACAUUUCACUUUUAUAGUAUCAAAAGUAAAAAAACUGGUCUGUGGACUAAAUUUAUUAUAAAACUGUGUCAGCUAAAGACAUUUAAAAAAUGUUACAUGUAGUUAAUAGACAUAGGAAUCAGCUACAUUUUCAUUUCAAAUUUGAAAGUUUGUGAUGAGUGAUGGUAGCUAGCCAACAUUAUUUAAUCACAAAAUUGGGUUAAAUUUGAGCAGGGUUGGUUGGCACAGUGAUUUUGAAGAUAUAGGAAUUUAAUCCAAAAGUGGUAAGACAUGUAUUAUAGGUGUGAUGGGGGAGAGGGACUACUAGGAGGGCUACUGUUGGGGUUAUUGUCCCUUUUUAAAUGUUGUCUAAUGAGAACAUUGUUGUCAACAUUCCGUUCUUCAGUCUUUUACAUUCCUUCUAAUUGCAUAAAACAUGUUAUUGAAUGUUUAAUUGGUUAAACUCUUUUAUUAAAUGUUCAAAUUUUUUCUAUUGCUUCAUUUUGUGUAACUAUAGCAUUUUAACAUUGUGCCGAUAGUUUGUUUGCUAAGCUGUAGCUAGUGCUAACGUUACCCACCUAAAUCGAUCCUGUUUGCUUGCACAGGGAUCUUCUACGCUAGAGCUACAAACAUCUGCCAUGCCCGUCGAGUCAAUGUUAGCUAGACUGUAUCUCAUCUGCUUUUUAUUAACGCUGAUUUGCAAGGAAUGCAAAAACAGCUAGAUAGCGAAAACACCUGGCAUUUUAAUCAUUGAAUGCAUCACGGGCACUGUGCACGAGUGAAUAUAACAACAGGAUUUAUGAAGGAUGCAUGUCUUAAAGUUAUGUAUUGUGCUUAUUAAAGUUAUGUCUUAUGAAACUUAGAAGUGUGCUCAGGCUUAAACAUAGGGUCUCACACUGAGUGUGGGAAGCAGGCUGUUCUUUGUGUCUCUCUUUUCAUUUUCAGAAACAACCUUGAAUCUGGGUGGAGAUGGCACCCGAGCAGGUGGGACGCGGAGGCAAGAACAACUCCCUGAUGCACGAGAGAACAAGCUCAACCCUUUUUUGAUACUUGUGUUUUCUAUUGCAUUGUAUAAUAUAUGCUGGGGCAGGGAAAGAUAGCCAGUUGGACUUCGUGAACCAGCCCAAACUCUGUUGCGGGUAGGGAAACAUAGACAACCCCAGAGCUCUGUACUUGUUGAUUUCCAACUGCUGCAUUAAAGCUGAUAUUAUCGGA